RNAcentral lists this non-coding RNA (29 nucleotides) under Mus musculus (house mouse). The record is from RNAcentral. Lineage: Eukaryota; Metazoa; Chordata; Mammalia; Rodentia; Muridae.
UCCCUAUCUGGAAGGUUGAACACACUUGC